Molecule: ribosomal RNA, 253 nt
Filed under: uncultured bacterium
Lineage: Bacteria
Description: partial 16S ribosomal RNA
Rfam family: Bacterial small subunit ribosomal RNA
Source: RNAcentral
UACGAAGGAUCCAAGCGUUGUCCGGAUUUACUGGGUUUAAAGGGUGCGUAGGCGGUCUUUUAAGUCAGUGGUGAAAGCUCGCAGCUUAACUGUGAAAUUGCCAUUGAAACUGAAAGUCUCGAGUGUGGUUGAGGUAACUGGAAUAUAUCAUGUAGCGGUGAAAUGCUUAGAUAUGAUAUAGAACACCAAUUGCGAAGGCAGGUUACUGAGCCACAACUGACGCUGAGGCACGAAAGCGUGGGGAGCAAACAGG